CCUACGCGUGGCAGCAGUAGGGAAUCUUCCACAAUGGGCGAAAGCCUGAUGGAGCAACGCCGCGUGGGUGAAGAAGGUCUUCGGAUCGUAAAACCCUGUUGGUAGAGAAGAAAGUGCGUGAGAGGAACUGUUCACGUUUCGAAGGGAUCUAACCAGAAAGACACGGCUAACGACGUGGCAGCAGCCGCGGUAAUAAGUAGGUGGCAAGAGUUAUCCGGAGUUAUUGGGCGUAAAGGGAACGCAGGCGGUCUUUUAAGUCUGAUGUGAAAGACUUCGGCAUAACCGGAGUAGUGCAUUGGCAACUGGGCGACUUGAGUGCAGAAGAGGAGAGUGGAACUCCAUGUUUAGCGGUUAAAUGCGUAGAUAUAUGGAAGAACACCAGUGGCGAAAGCGGCUCUCUGGUCUGUAACUGACGCUGAGGUUCGAAAGCGUGGGUAGCAAACAGGAUUAGAUACCCCUGUAGUC
Molecule: ribosomal RNA, 465 nt
Filed under: uncultured bacterium
Lineage: Bacteria
Description: partial 16S ribosomal RNA
Rfam family: Bacterial small subunit ribosomal RNA
Source: RNAcentral